UCAUUACCGAGUUUACAACUCCCAAACCCAAUGUGAACGUUACCAAACUGUUGCCUCGGCGGGAUCUCUGCCCCGGGUGCGUCGCAGCCCCGGACCAAGGCGCCCGCCGGAGGACCAACCAAAACUCUUAUUGUAUACCCCCUCGCGGGUUUUUUUAUAAUCUGAGCCUUCUCGGCGCCUCUCGUAGGCGUUUCGAAAAUGAAUCAAAACUUUCAACAACGGAUCUCUUGGUUCUGGCAUCGAUGAAGAACGCAGCGAAAUGCGAUAAGUAAUGUGAAUUGCAGAAUUCAGUGAAUCAUCGAAUCUUUGAACGCACAUUGCGCCCGCCAGUAUUCUGGCGGGCAUGCCUGUCCGAGCGUCAUUUCAACCCUCGAACCCCUCCGGGGGGUCGGCGUUGGGGAUCGGCCCUCCCUUAGCGGGUGGCCGUCUCCGAAAUACAGUGGCGGUCUCGCCGCAGCCUCUCCUGCGCAGUAGUUUGCACACUCGCAUCGGGAGCGCGGCGCGUCCACAGCCGUUAAACACCCAACUUCUGAAAUGUUGACC
RNAcentral lists this ribosomal RNA (543 nucleotides) under Trichoderma lentiforme. RNAcentral describes it as "eukaryotic LSU rRNA". The stretch from base 208 to 361 matches the Rfam family "5.8S ribosomal RNA". The record is from RNAcentral. Lineage: Eukaryota; Fungi; Ascomycota; Sordariomycetes; Hypocreales; Hypocreaceae.